Microtus ochrogaster (prairie vole) is the source of this 961-nucleotide long non-coding RNA. RefSeq lists it as uncharacterized. The transcript is spliced from 3 exons. Lineage: Eukaryota; Metazoa; Chordata; Mammalia; Rodentia; Cricetidae. The record is from RefSeq and is a predicted model, not a curated record.
GCAGAAGUACGUCCUUAAUUUGUUCCUCACAAUCCUCUUGUGUAGGAGGGAGGAAGGUAGGAUUAUUCCCAUUCGUAGACUAACUGUUUCAUCAACUGAACAGCUGCACCAUUCAGGGAACCAGAUGAGGCUCCAGGGAGUUAAUGGUAACAGAGUAACUCUGGCCCUCACAGAGUCUAAUGGAAAAGGCAGAUGUCCGGACCUGUCUCGAAUGCUGGCUGUGGAAUUCUGUAAAGAGGCGCAUGCCAUCUGGUUUGCUAACCGACCCACCAAGCACCGUGUCUAUUAGAAGAAUGGACAGAUGUGAAUGUACAGAACUCAUGAAAUAUUGUCAUCAGCCACACAACUGAAGAGGCAAUCUCCCCUAUGCUUGGGAGGCUGCCCCGGAGCCACAUGGACAUGGGAUCGCCGUGUUCUCUUUCAGAUCUUAAACCUCAUGUGGAAAACAGCAAGAUCUUGUUCUGUGGAGACGCAGAAAUAAGUUUUCAGAUUGUGCCACCUUCUGGUAGAAUCUGGAAAACAACUUGACAGGUUUCUUCCUUUUAGCUCACCGUCACCCCAGGAAAGUGGAGCAGGAGAUGUCUUUCUUCCCAGAAUUUGACCCUAGCUUCUGUGGAGAAAGCAGCUCAAAUUGCAUUUAAAUAAAACCAGAACCCUGUCCCAUUUCACGAAGCAGCAUGCGUCCCUGCUAAAGGGCAAGUGCUGGUUUAGAUCAGAUAUAGGCUCAACCUCUAGCUGCCAACGUCACUAGGCACUUAAGUCAUUUUCUUUUUAAUUUUCUGAAUCACUCAAAACUACUUCUGUGACGUGGAGGCACCUACUUUAAACCCCCCAAACGACGACUAACUGCCCUUUUCUCAUCUGUCAAAACUGGGUACUUAAAAAUUCCAAAUGUGCACCUAAGAGAAAAAGUUCCUCCUUAAAAUUCCUUAAUUGUAUGCUCUGCCAUUUAUAUGUAGUU